GAUUAAGUUAUUAAGGGCGCACGGUGGAUGCCUUGGCACUAGAAGCCGAUGAAGGACGUUACUAACGACGAUAUGCUUUGGGGAGCUGUAAGUAAGCUUUGAUCCAGAGAUUUCCGAAUGGGGAAACCCAGCAUGAGUUAUGUCAUGUUAUCGAUAUGUGAAUACAUAGCAUAUCAGAAGGCACACCCGGAGAACUGAAACAUCUUAGUACCCGGAGGAAGAGAAAGAAAAUUCGAUUCCCUUAGUAGCGGCGAGCGAAACGGGAAGAGCCCAAACCAACAAGCUUGCUUGUUGGGGUUGUAGGACACUCUAUACGGAGUUACAAAGGACGACAUUAGACGAAUCAUCUGGAAAGAUGAAUCAAAGAAGGUAAUAAUCCUGUAGUCGAAAAUGUUGUCUCUCUUGAGUGGAUCCUGAGUACGACGGAGCACGUGAAAUUCCGUCGGAAUCUGGGAGGACCAUCUCCUAAGGCUAAAUACUCUCUAGUGACCGAUAGUGAACCAGUACCGUGAGGGAAAGGUGAAAAGCACCCCGGAAGGGGAGUGAAAUAGAACCUGAAACCGUGUGCUUACAAGUAGUCAGAGCCCGUUAAUGGGUGAUGGCGUGCCUUUUGUAGAAUGAACCGGCGAGUUACGAUUUGAUGCAAGGUUAAGCAGUAAAUGUGGAGCCGUAGCGAAAGCGAGUCUGAAUAGGGCGUUUAGUAUUUGGUCGUAGACCCGAAACCAGGUGAUCUACCCUUGGUCAGGUUGAAGUUCAGGUAACACUGAAUGGAGGACCGAACCGACUUACGUUGAAAAGUGAGCGGAUGAACUGAGGGUAGCGGAGAAAUUCCAAUCGAACCUGGAGAUAGCUGGUUCUCUCCGAAAUAGCUUUAGGGCUAGCCUCAAGUGAUGAUUAUUGGAGGUAGAGCACUGUUUGGACGAGGGGCCCCUCUCGGGUUACCGAAUUCAGACAAACUCCGAAUGCCAAUUAAUUUAACUUGGGAGUCAGAACAUGGGUGAUAAGGUCCGUGUUCGAAAGGGAAACAGCCCAGACCACCAGCUAAGGUCCCAAAAUAUAUGUUAAGUGGAAAAGGAUGUGGCGUUGCCCAGACAACUAGGAUGUUGGCUUAGAAGCAGCCAUCAUUUAAAGAGUGCGUAAUAGCUCACUAGUCGAGUGACACUGCGCCGAAAAUGUACCGGGGCUAAACAUAUUACCGAAGCUGUGGAUUGUCCUUUGGACAAUGGUAGGAGAGCGUUCUAAGGGCGUUGAAGCAUGAUCGUAAGGACAUGUGGAGCGCUUAGAAGUGAGAAUGCCGGUGUGAGUAGCGAAAGACGGGUGAGAAUCCCGUCCACCGAUUGACUAAGGUUUCCAGAGGAAGGCUCG
Molecule: ribosomal RNA, 1365 nt
Filed under: Staphylococcus aureus
Lineage: Bacteria; Bacillati; Bacillota; Bacilli; Caryophanales; Staphylococcaceae
Description: partial 23S ribosomal RNA
Rfam family: Bacterial large subunit ribosomal RNA
Source: RNAcentral